GCCGACAGCCACGUCACUGUGAACAUGCCCAAUCUCAUCUGACCUCGGAAGCUAAGCGAGGUGGGGCCUGGUUAGCAUUCAGUGGGAGAAAUGAACACAACACAACCAGCCAAGACAUGGUCCUGGGAA
Molecule: ribosomal RNA, 129 nt
Filed under: Jaculus jaculus (lesser Egyptian jerboa)
Lineage: Eukaryota; Metazoa; Chordata; Mammalia; Rodentia; Dipodidae
Source: RNAcentral